Molecule: ribosomal RNA, 1129 nt
Filed under: uncultured bacterium
Lineage: Bacteria
Description: bacterial SSU rRNA
Rfam family: Bacterial small subunit ribosomal RNA
Source: RNAcentral
GAGUUUGAUUCUGGCUCAGAAUCAACGCUGGCGGCGUGCCUCAGACAUGCAAGUCGAACGCGAAAGAGUCCUUCGGGACUCCGGUAGAGUGGCGUCCGGGUGAGUAACACGUGGGUAAUUUACCUUUGGGUGGGGAAUAACUCAGGGAAACUUGAGCUAAUACCGCAUAAUGCAGCGGCAGCUUCGGCUGACAGUUGUUAAAGCGGGGGAAUGAUUUCGGUCAUCCUCGUGCCUGAAGAGAAGCCCGCGGCGGAUUAGGUAGUUGGUGAGGUAAAGGCUCACCAAGCCAGCGAUCCGUAGCCGGCCUGAGAGGGCGGUCGGCCACACUGACACUGACAUACGGGUCAGACUCCUACGGGAGGCAGCAGUCGGGAAUUUUGGGCAAUGGGCGCAAGCCUGACCCAGCAACGCCGCGUGAAGGAUGAAGUUUUUCGGAAUGUAAACUUCACAAGAAUGGGAAGAAGAGAGAAGGGCUAACAUCCCUUUGAUUUGACGGUACCAUUUGUAAGCUCCGGCUAACUCCGUGCCAGCAGCCGCGGUAAUACGGGGGGAGCAAGCGUUGUUCGGAUUUACUGGGCGUAAAGGGCGCGUAGGCGGUUCGCCAAGUCAGUUGUGAAAUCUCCGGGCUUAACUCGGAGCGGCCAACUGAUACUGUCGGACUAGAGUGCGGAAGGGGCAACUGGAAUUCUCGGUGUAGCGGUGAAAAUGCGUAGAUAUCGAGAGGAACACCUGCGGCGAAGGCGGGUUGCUGGGCCGACACUGACACUGAGGCGCGAAAGCCAGGGGAGCGAACGGAAUUAGAUACCCCGGUAGUCCUGGCCUUAAACGAUGAAUGCUUGGUGUCCGAAGUUAAUAGUCUUCGGGUGCCGUCGCUAACGCUAUAAGCAUUCCGCCUGGGGAGUACGGUCGCAAGACUGAAACUCAAAGGAAUUGACGGGGACCCGCACAAGCGGUGGAGCAUGUGGUUUAAUUCGACGCAACGCGAAGAACCUUACCUGGGCUAGAAUGCUCCUGAACGGCGUAGAGAUACGCUUUCUUAGGGAAACCUAAGCAGGAUGCAAGGUGCUGCAUGGCUGUCGUCAGCUCGUGUCGCGAGAUGUUGGGUUAAGUCCCGCAACGAGCGCAACCC